This is an RNA transcript of Vitis riparia (riverbank grape), 1024 nucleotides long. It is a transcript of the gene named thioredoxin O2, mitochondrial, with no coding region annotated. The transcript has 7 exons. Lineage: Eukaryota; Viridiplantae; Streptophyta; Magnoliopsida; Vitales; Vitaceae. The record is from RefSeq and is a predicted model, not a curated record.
AGGCUUCAAGCAGCGAAAGCGCGAGAAAGUGCGAGAAAAUGGCGAGAAACUCCGUUCUUCUGCGACACCUCCUUCGAUUCUCUCCCUCGUCUCGCGCUCGUUCUUCUUCUCUGAUCGAGACCCUAGCUUCAUCUCCGACUGCUGUCCCAUCCCCUCCCAUUCAUACAAUUUCCUCCUUUUUCAGCACCGCCACCGCUAACUCUCAGUUCUCGCAGCCUUUUUUCAAUUACCGUACACUUUGCUCUUCCUCAGGUCAAUCAAAAAUUGCUCUGAUUAAAUCAGAAGAAGAGUUCAAUACUUCACUCAGCAAGGCUCAAGAUGAAUCUUUGCCUGCAAUUUUCUACUUCACUGCAGUAUGGUGUGGGCCUUGCAGGUUUAUAGCUCCUAUCAUAGCAGAGUUGAGUGAGAAGUACCCUCAUGUCACCACAUACAAGAUUGACAUUGAUCAGGAUGGGCUUGAAAACACCCUAAGAAGGUUAAAUAUUGCCUCCGUGCCAACACUCCACUUCUUUCAAAAUGGGAAAAAGGCAGCUGAAAUAAUCGGUGCUGAUGUUGCCCGCUUGAAGGAUACCAUGGAUAAACUCUACAAGUAAUUCCCCAGUGGUUUGCCUUUCUGCAUUGUGUAUGCUUUUGCAUGGAUUUUUCUUUGAACAAGGGCUUCCAUAGUUGGCUUCAGGGCUAUAAACGGAAGGACUGAGAAGAUUUUCCAGGGUGGGAGCUGAUGGCACAUGAUAGCUAAUCUGAUGGGUGAUAAAGCUUUCUUCAGAAAGGAGAAAAGGUAUCAAUGUUGAGACUGGGUUUAGUCAGGAUUGGCUUAGCUUUGAGUCUACGAGGCAUUUUACAUAUCGUAAAUUACAUAAGACCUGAUUAUCAAUUCACUGGUAUGAGAAAACCUCAGUAUCAAAAUCUCCGUUUUGCUUCCAAAUCUAUGGAAAUCGGAUUGUAAUGUUGUCAUCGGUUCAUUGUCAUUCAAUUGAUAAAUGAGUUUCUGAUUCAUUAUCAGAGCUCACUCCCAUUGCCAACA